GAGUUUGAUCUUGGCUCAGGAUGAACGCUGGCGGCGUGCCUAAUACAUGCAAGUCGAGCGAACGGACGAGAAGCUUGCUUCUCUGAUGUUAGCGGCGGACGGGUGAGUAACACGUGGAUAACCUACCUAUAAGACUGGGAUAACUUCGGGAAACCGGAGCUAAUACCGGAUAAUAUUUUGAACCGCAUGGUUCAAAAGUGAAAGACGGUCUUGCUGUCACUUAUAGAUGGAUCCGCGCUGCAUUAGCUAGUUGGUAAGGUAACGGCUUACCAAGGCAACGAUGCAUAGCCGACCUGAGAGGGUGAUCGGCCACACUGGAACUGAGACACGGUCCAGACUCCUACGGGAGGCAGCAGUAGGGAAUCUUCCGCAAUGGGCGAAAGCCUGACGGAGCAACGCCGCGUGAGUGAUGAAGGUCUUCGGAUCGUAAAACUCUGCUAUUAGGGAAGAACAUAUGUGUAAGUAACUGUGCACAUCUUGACGGUACCUAAUCAGAAAG
This 499-nucleotide ribosomal RNA is filed under the name uncultured microorganism. RNAcentral describes it as "bacterial SSU rRNA". It matches the Rfam family "Bacterial small subunit ribosomal RNA", at positions 9 to 490 of the family's 1533-position model. The record is from RNAcentral.